Non-coding RNA from Salmo salar (Atlantic salmon), 54 nucleotides. NCBI's taxonomy places the organism in Eukaryota, Metazoa, Chordata, Actinopteri, Salmoniformes, Salmonidae. The record is from Rfam.
AAUGCAUGUAAAUGUAAGUCGCUUUGGAUAAAAGCGCCUGCUAAAUGGCAUGUA